CUGGGUUUGGCAGUUGCCAGGAGAACGCAACCUGUCCGAAUGCAUUGUGCCAACUAUAAAGCUUGGUGGAGGAGGUAUAAUCGUCUAGGGCUAAGUUCCAGUGAAGAAUACUGCAGAUAAUUCCCAGAAUGCUCUUCGGGAUAGCUUGUUACCAUGGGAAUUUCCAAGGGUCCCAGGAGUUAAUGAGGACCAUAUGUUGACAUGUCAUGUCAAACAGCACUAUGGGAACGGUAUCCAUGCCAAUCACAGGGGACAAGAUGGUCAUGUGAAAUGGAGGGAUGGACGCCCCCUACUGGCUGAACAAGAUAAUGAAAGCCUUCAGUCUAUCAAAGUAAAAUACAGUCGUGAAACCGUUUAGAUUCCCAGGCUGUGGUUUCUGCAUGGUUUCCUAGUGUAAUAUUCAUUAUCAAGCAAUCCACUAUCCAAGAUGUUCCUUCCCACUAUGCAUCUCAACAUAGUGGACUUGUGAUUCUAUUAAACAGUCAUAUUCACCGAUAAUUUCAACUCAGAGCUACUGUUUCCAGAUGACCAUAAAUAACAAUGACCUGACAAACGUUUGUGUGUUCGAGGUCAUUUGAGGUAAUAGAGUUAUGUUUUUGAGAGGUUUUCCUGGAGAAACAGUUUCAUUUGAAAUGGUUUAUUCCAAAAAUCUAUAUUUAUAGUUAUGCAUCCAAGUUCACACAGGAAAUGUAAAAAUAGACAUUUCCCCACGGC
RNAcentral lists this long non-coding RNA (714 nucleotides) under Salmo salar (Atlantic salmon). RNAcentral's name for it is "lncRNA (ENSSSAG00000112977.1)". The record is from RNAcentral. Lineage: Eukaryota; Metazoa; Chordata; Actinopteri; Salmoniformes; Salmonidae.